CAGGCCACCUAGGAAUACUGAAGUGAGGUUACAAAUCUGAGGCCAGCACAAGAAGUUGAUGGAAAACUCACGCAGGUGUGGUUUCCUGAUUCGAGAGAGGUCUGGCCCCAACUCUGAAAAGCAUUUAAUGUUAACUGACCAACUUGUAAAAAUUGUGGGUUUGGGAAGCAAAAGGUUUCAUUUUAAUUCAGUUCUAUCUAAAACUAAUAGGCCACUGAUCUGCCAAAAAUGAAUAUUCCAUUUCCAGGGAUCCCUCCCACAGUAUCUAGAAGUAUUAAUCAUAUACGGUAACAGAUGAUCAACAAGUUUGUAAAUAAUCUUAUUAACGUCCUGGGGCGCCUGGGUGGCUCAGUCAGUUAAGUGGCCGACUCCUGAUUUCAGCUCAGGUCAUGAUCUCACAGUUCAUGAGUUCCAACCCCACCUUGGGCUCUGCACUGACAGCAUGGAGCCUGCUUGGGAUUUUCUCUCUCAGCCCCUCCCCCACUCAUACUCUCUCUGUCUCUCAAAAUAAAUAAAUAAAUAAACUUAAAAAAAAUCUUAUCAAAGUCCUUUACUUUAUAAAAGGCAAAAAGUUUUCUAAAGCUAUCUCUGUACUUUUUCAAUGGUUGGAUUUUGUUGUUAAGGCUUCAAAAAGAAACACAAUUUAGGUCUUUAUUAUAAAGGAAAUGUAUGUUCCAUAUUUCACUAGAAUUACAUUCUAACGGUUAUUUGCAGUCAUAGCCUACAUGGAAUUUUUCUUGGGUGCUUUUUAUGUUUUGGGUUAUAGGAGGCCCCCUCCCCCACCACCAAUGUAUGGCCAAUCUCUGAACAAAUAUUUAACAUUCUUAUGUAAAGUUUUUUUUUUUAAGCUAUUUUAUCCAUCUACAUCAUAGGGCUAAAUAUCAAGUAAGUCAUGUAAGCCAGUAUUCCUGUCUUAUGAAUGGAUUUUUUAGCCAGGUAGUCUGGGUGAAUUUGCACAGUUAAUAGUGAAAUACUGUAUUACAAUAGCCAAACUAUGGAAACAACCCAAGUGUCCAUCAAUGGAUGAAUGGAUAAAGAAGAUGUGGCAUAUAUAUAUAUAUAUAUAUAUAUAUAUAUAUAUAGGAAUAUUACUCAACCAUAGAAAGAAAGAGAUCUUGCCAUUUGUAACAACAUGGAUGCAUCUAGAGGCUAUAAUGCUAAGUGAACUAAGUCAGAGAAAGACAAGACAAAUACCAUAUUAGUUCUCCCAUCUGUGGAAGAAAAAAAAAAAAAAAAGAAAAGAAAAAACAAACCAAAAUCAGACUCUUAAACACGGAGAACAAACUGAUGGUCACCAGAGGGGAGCUGAGUGAGGGAUGGAUGAAAUAGAUAAAGGGAAUGAAAACUAUGCUGAAUAACGUGCAGAAUUGUUGAAUCACGAUAUUGGACACCUGAAACUAAUAUAGCACUAUUUGUCAAUUACACGUCAAUUAAAAGAAACAGGGUGUCAUGAGGACCAGUCCGUUUUGGGGUUGUGAGCAGAUGCCAUUCUCAGGCCCUUGUAGGCCAGCCCAGGCCCAGCUUAAGUUUCACUCCCCCAUGGGUCAGCAACCACUGACCCAACAAUUCUAUGUGCCGUGGCCACGGAGAUCUGUUUUCUCCAUGAGAUUCUUCCGAUCUUUUGUUCGUUCCCUCACAGCACACCUACUGAGGGCACACUAAUCUGAAAAGUAACUCAAGCAGAGAAAUAGUGCACACAACAACCACAUUCUAACCUGGGGUUUUCUGGACGCGAUGUUUUAACCCCCCAGAGAGGCCGAGGAUCGGGGUCUCAUGGAUUAAAACAGGACUGUCAGCUUCAAAGGGAAGUCCACGGGCACCGUCAUUGUUUGGGCAUUUUUUCCCUCCCUUGUUUCUGAUAGUUUCUUUGGAAGCCAGAAAAUGGCCACUUCUCAUUUCUCAUGGAAUUGACGUGUCCAGUUUUUAGCAGGAGCUGAAACGAACCAGAAGGUAUUUACCCAUCAGCAGUUGUCUGCGUGUAUCUGAGACACUGCUCCAUGAGAUGCUGACUUACGUGGGGACAUCAUGAGAGAGAGUCGCUCAGAGCUAAACAAUAACCUCUUACCAUUCACCCCACCAGGUAUCCAACACAGGAUGCUACGCACCUCCACUGCAUCCAAACUUUUGACAGAUGUUAAUUAUCGGGAUUCAAGAAUGAGGAAACGGAAGUUCUGAGAAUCCUCGGGGAUUCCAGAAUUCUUGUUAUUCCGUAAGUUUCGUAACACAUUUCUUAGAUGCUUUUGAAAAAUAAGUAGCCAUACUAAUAAGCAGAGAAUCUGUUAUUUCCAUAGCAGGAUGUUUCUAGAACAGGAUUAUAUGAAAGGCUUCUAUGGUCUUCCUUUUUAAAAAACAUAUAAUGACAAGUACAUGCUUAUUAUUACUAUGAGCCAAUACAUUGUGGCAAGAUUAUAAAACCCAAUAACAUAAAAAUGAUUUCUACCUAAUACAAGUGCAGGGUAAUAGAAAACAUUCAAAAGAAAUGAACAUUAAUACAAAAUAAAUGUUGGGGCACCUGGGUGGCUCAGUCAGUUAAGCAUCCGACUUCAGCUCAGGUCAUGAUCUCACAGUUCGUGAGUUCGAGCUCUGUGUCAGGUUCUGCGCUGACAGCUCGGAGCCUGGAGCCUGCUUUGGAUUCUGUGUCUCCCUCUCUCUCUCUCUCUCAAAAUAAAUAAAUAAGCUUUAAAAAAAGUAUUGUGCCUAUAAACUUUUUAACGCUUCUUAGCAAGACUGACUCGUAUCAACAGGGCCCUGAACGCCCACUUACAGCAGCAAAUACAAAAAGCCCCAUGGCUCCCGUCCUGGGUCCCAGAAACAUCAACCUGGACCCUCGACUCCAUGGGUCAGUGCGUCCUGCUCUUGCUUUCGACUUGAGCCAGUGGAUUUCUUCAAACCAGUAAGGUCUCUACAUGGAUACUGAGCUUUAAUUCUCAUGGGAGAAUCAUAACACUUCUCCCAAUUUUCCUGAUUUCUCAGCUGAUUUUUCUCAGAAUCCAGAAUUUGGGAGUCCAUAUAAAUGUCCCAAGAAACACCAGAUGGGAAUUCCCACGUGGGAACCCUCUCCCUUUGUCGCUUCAGAAACAAUGAUCAACAAACACAGAGCUCUCCUUCUCAUCUCCACAUUUCCCCUGCUCGCUGAUGGUUCAGGGGCCCAGCUCAAAAUUUCCCCUCCUCUGGGAAUAGCCCCAGGACUGUGAAAUGGGCUCUCAGUGGUUACGAACUUACUACAGAAUUCCGCAUUCCUGGCCCAGGAAAGGAUGUCUGGCCAGCUGGAUUCUCUGUCUCUGGAAUUUGAAUAUUGGAAUCCAGACAUAGAGAGACUGGGGGUCACUGUGGCUUGGCCAUGUUGAUAACGUGCAAGGGUGGGAUUACACUCAUAGCUACCUGUCCCUCGUGUCCCAGGAGCUGGCCUAAACCUCCCCUUUUCUAGUCGCAGGAUAGAUACUUAAGAUGCAUCAACAUCCUUCAUUAAAUCCUCCCAUGGAUGGGGUGCCUGGGUGGCUCAGCCGGUUGGGCGUCCGACUUCGGCUCAGGUCAUGAUCUCGCAGUCCGUGAGUUCGAGCCCCACAUCGGGCUCUGUGCUCACAGCCUGCAGCCUGUUUCAGAUUCUGUGUCUCCCUCUCUCUCUGACCCUCCCCCGUUCAUGCUCUGUCUCUCUCUGUCUCAAAAAUAAAUAAACAUAAAAAAAAUUUUUUUUUAAUAAAAAUAAAAAAAAAUAAAUCCUCCCAUGGUUUAAGCAAGCCAGAACUAGUUUCCAUUGUUUUGAAUCAAAAGACCCUUAGCUAAUAUAUUAUUACGCCCCGGUCCAGUUCCUUUCAUUUUCCAGGAACAGGAGGAAAAAUGCCUUACUGAUUUAAAAAAGAAAGAGACAACACAGGAUGCCAUUUAUGUAGAUUUCGAAACACAAAGGAAUAGUCUGUACAGUUUAUGACAUGCACCUAGGUAGUACGUGCACAGACCCUGAACAGCAUGUGCAUCUACAUCAAGAUCAUGGCUGCCGUGGGGGGCAGGGAAACAUGGGCCAACAGGAGGCACAGGUGGGGACUUGAGCAGCUAUGGAAAAGCUUGAUUUCCAAGGGACAGUCAAGACCCAGUUUGCCGGAGGCCACUGAGUUUACAUUUGUUUACCCCGGUCUGAUCUUCAAUUCUCUCUCACAACAACCCCAGUGUGGAUGCAAAGUUCCAUGGCCACCCCUCAGGAACAUUUUUUUUUUUUGAUGUUUAUUUAUUUUUGAGAGAGACAGAGAUCUCGUGGGCGGGGUUGGAACAGAGAGAGAGGGAGACACAGAAUCUGAAGCAGGCUCCAGGCUCAGAGCUGUCAGCACAGAGCCCGACGCGGGGCUCGAACUCACGAACCUCGAGAUCAUGACCUGAGCCGAAGUUGGACGCUCAACCGGCUGAGCCACCCAGGUGCCCCCCACUUGAGAACAUUUUAAAUAAUUAUAGAAGAAGACUUCUAUUUUCCCUUUUGUUUGAAGUACUGUAUAACAAAAACACUUUUAAAGUUACUCCCAUAUACAUAAGAUUGCUACCAAACCAUGAAUCCCUCAAGGGCAUCUUCCUCACCCAGUACUCCGCGAGGAUUAAGUCAUUAAAUUCUAGGAAGCCCUCAUCAGCGGCUUACACUAAGUAAGAGAGCCACCAGCAAGGUGCUAUUUUUCUUUAUUUUAAUCAAAUUCCUGGUAACUUAUUUAGGGAUGUUUUAAUAUUUUGCACAUUCACAUGGUUCAAAAUGCCGAAAGUCAAGAAAGGUAUACGAUGAGGAGUUUUCCAUCUCUGCCCCGGCUUAACUCCCUAGAGGCAAACAACUGUUUCCAGAUUUUUUAAUAUCCCUAAAAAUAUGCUAUAUGCAUGAGAACAAAGACAUUGUGUGUGUGUUGCCCCGUUUGAAGCUCACAGAAACUCCUUCAAAGCCCCUUUGAAAAGAUACCAUUAUCACUCGUGUUUCACAGGAUGAAAUUGAGGUUUGGAAAGAGACUCCCUGGCUUGCUCAAGGUCACACAGCUAGUAAACAGCGAAACUCGGAUUCAAUUCUAACCCCGACGUGUACUGUCCCAGAUACUGGGAAAAGUGGAAGAGGAAUUAAUCUACUAAAUCGAGGGCGUAUUUGAGGAUCUGAAGAAGCAGGCAUUCCCACCUCAGGCUCGCUUGGAAAGUUAAGUUGCCCAAAACUGUCUCCCCUUGUCAUCCGAAAUUCCAGCAUUUCAGAUUUUUACUUAGGAUCUCAGCAUGGUCUGCUCUCAUCCUAGAGCAGGCACCGCCGGGCAGUUAAUUCUCCCACGUGGGAAUCUGAAGGGUUCGAGUUAACCAGGAUCACCCGUGUUAACACCUGCCAGCCUGCACCCUGAGUCCCGGGCCGUCCUGCCUCACCCCCNNCCCCCCCCCCCCCCCCCCCCCCCCCCCCCCCCGCGCCCGUACCUCAAGCCCUCGAUAUGGCAAAGCCUUUAUUUUUUUUUUUUUUAAAUUUUUUUUUUUGAACGUUUAUUUAUUUUUGGGACAGAGAGAGACAGAGCACGAACGGGGGAGAGGCAGAGAGAGAGGGAGACACAGAAUCUGAAACAGGCUCCAGGCUCUGAGCCAUCAGCCCAGAGCCCGACGCGGGGCUCGAACUCCCGGACCGCGAGAUCGUGACCUGGCUGAAGUCGGACGCUCAACCGACUGCGCCACCCAGGCGCCCCUAUGGCAAAGCCUUUAAUGCAGCCACAUCCAAGAAAGUCCCUGGUAUCCACAGGCAAGAAAAGCCAUAUGUGAACUCAGAAACAAUGAGCCAAAUUGUGUUUUUUGUCUAAAAAGGCUGUUAAGAGCUUCAUUCAGGUUAUAUCAGAGCCAAUCCACGGAACCAACAGGAAGCGGGUCCCAACAGAAAUUACAAACGGGGGGAAAAAAGAAGGCAGGCCUUAGGGUGGAGAGCGCGGGUGAUUGUCUCAAUAUGGCCUAAAAUAUUUGCUUCUGAGAUAAAUAUUUGCCUGAUAAUUUGGGUGUUGUUUGUACAACCAGGAAAAGCGGUCAGCAGUUAGGAAAAAAAAAAAAAAAAGAAAGAAAGAAAAAAAACCCGCCGCUUUAGUCUAACUUGAAAAAGCCCACAACCGGUUCCUAAUGAAAACCAUCUGAAUUCCCAGGUUUUCCCACAAGCAACACAUCGCUUGAGCUCUGUGCUCGCCCCAUUCUGUAUGCAGCCCACAGCCUGCCUGCAGGAAACACAGCCUGCCAGGAGAGCGACGUUCCAGCAGACCCCGAUUUAGCAAGGCAUUUUCAGAGCAUACCCCCAACCAGCUGGCGAUCCUCCACUGCUCUUGNAUUUGCCUGAUAAUUUGGGUGUUGUUUGUACAACCAGGAAAAGCGGUCAGCAGUUAGGAAAAAAAAAAAAAAAAAAAAAAAAAAAAAAACCCCGCCGCUUUAGUCUAACUUGAAAAAGCCCACAACCGGUUCCUAAUGAAAACCAUCUGAAUUCCCAGGUUUUCCCACAAGCAACACAUCGCUUGAGCUCUGUGCUCGCCCCAUUCUGUAUGCAGCCCACAGCCUGCCUGCAGGAAACACAGCCUGCCAGGAGAGCGACGUUCCAGCAGACCCCGAUUUAGCAAGGCAUUUUCAGAGCAUACCCCCAACCAGCUGGCGAUCCUCCACUGCUCUUGUGCAAAGAUCUCUAGCUCAUCUCACCGAAUUUCCUGAUUUAAAAGUCUAAUUCAUUUCGCCGAAAGUGCGACAGAAGGCAACGGAGUAGCCAGGCCUCU
Molecule: long non-coding RNA, 6728 nt
Filed under: Lynx pardinus (Iberian lynx)
Lineage: Eukaryota; Metazoa; Chordata; Mammalia; Carnivora; Felidae
Source: RNAcentral